Molecule: ribosomal RNA, 1382 nt
Filed under: metagenome
Description: bacterial SSU rRNA
Rfam family: Bacterial small subunit ribosomal RNA
Source: RNAcentral
GGUCAGUGGCGUCCUGGUGCGUAACACGUGGGCGACCUACCUCGCAGUGGGGAAUAACUGUCCGAAAGGAUAGCUAAUACCGCAUGUGCUCCAGUCUUCGGUGGUUGGAGCAAAGACCCGCAAGGGUCGCUGUGAGAGGGGCUCGCGGCCCAUCAGCUAGUUGAUGAGGUAACGGCUCACCAAGGCGAUGACGGGUAGCUGGUCUGAGAGGACGAUCAGCCACACUGGCACUGACACACGGGCCAGACUCCUACGGGAGGCAGCAGUAAGGAAUAUUGCACAAUGGGCGAAAGCCUGAUGCAGCAACGCCGCGUGGGCGAUGAAGGCCUUCAGGUCGUAAAGCCCUUUUCUGGGGGAUGAGGGAGGACAGUACCCCAGGAAUAAGUCUCGGCUAACUACGUGCCAGCAGCCGCGGUAAAACGUAGGAGGCGAGCGUUAUCCGGAUUUAUUGGGCGUAAAGCGCGCGUAGGCGGCUCUGUAAGUCGGGCGUGAAAUCUCCUGGCUCAACUGGGAGGAGUCGUCCGAUACUGCGGAGCUUGAGGGCAAGAGAGGGAGGUGGAAUUCCCGGUGUAGUGGUAAAAUGCGUAGAUAUCGGGAGGAACACCAGUGGCGAAAGCGGCCUCCUGGCUUGCCCCUGACGCUGAGGCGCGAAAGCGUGGGGAGCGAACGGGAUUAGAUACCCCGGUAGUCCACGCUGUAAACUAUGGUGGCUAGGUGUUGGCGGUAUUGACCCCGUCUGUGCCGAAGCAAACGCGUUAAGCCACCCGCCUGGGGACUACGGCCGCAAGGUUAAAACUCAAAGGAAUUGACGGGGGCCCGCACAAGCAGCGGAGCGUGUGGUUCAAUUCGAUUCGACGCGAAAAACCUUACCUGGGUUUGACAUGUACGUAGUAGUGAACCGAAAGGGGAACGAGCCUUCGGGCAGCGUACACAGGUGCUGCAUGGCUGUCGUCAGCUCGUGCCGUGAGGUGUUGGGUUAAGUCCCGCAACGAGCGCAACCCUCGCUGUUAGUUACAAGUGUCUAACGGGACUGCCGGUAUCAAACCGGAGGAAGGUGGGGAUGACGUCAAGUCAGCAUGGCCUUUAUAUCCAGGGCUACACACACGCUACAAUGGGCGGUACAAUGGGUCGCAAAGCCGUGAGGCGAAGCUAAUCCCACCAAAACCGUCCUCAGUUCAGAUCGCAGGCUGCAACCCGCCUGCGUGAAGUCGGAGUUGCUAGUAACCGCCGGUCAGCAAUACGGCGGUGAAUACGUUCCCGGGCCUUGUACACACCGCCCGUCACGUCAUGGGAGCCGGUAACACCUGAAGUCGGUGAGCCAACCGUAAGGAGGCAGCUGCCGAGGGUGGGACUGGUAACUGGGACGAAGUCGUAACAAGGUA